This 388-nucleotide ribosomal RNA is filed under the name uncultured bacterium. RNAcentral's name for it is "bacterial SSU rRNA". It matches the Rfam family "Bacterial small subunit ribosomal RNA", at positions 28 to 417 of the family's 1533-position model. The record is from RNAcentral.
GACGAACGCUGGCGGCGUGCUUAACACAUGCAAGUCGAGCGGUAAGGCCCUUUCGGGGGUACACGAGCGGCGAACGGGUGAGUAACACGUGGGUGACCNGCCCUCAGCUCUGGGAUAAGCCUGGGAAACCGGGUCUAAUACCGGAUAUGACUCCAUGACGCAUGUUGUGGGGUGGAAAGCCUUGUGCGGCUGAGGAUGGGCCCGCGGCCUAUCAGCUUGUUGGUGGGGUGAUGGCCUACCAAGGCGACGACGGGUAGCCGGCCUGAGAGGGCGACCGGCCACACUGGGACUGAGACACGGCCCAGACUCCUACGGGAGGCAGCAGUGGGGAAUCUUGCGCAAUGGGCGAAAGCCUGACGCAGCGACGCCGCGUGAGGGAUGACGGCCU